AACGUAGGACGCAAGCGUUAUCCGGAGUUACUGGGCGUAAAGCGCGGGCAGGCGGUUCCUUAAGUCUGAUGUGAAAUCUCCCGGCUCAACCGGGAGCAGCCAUUGGAAACUAGGGAACUGGAGGGCGAGAGAGGUAGGCGGAAUUCCGGGUGGAGUGGUGAAAUGCGUAGAGAUCCGGAGGAACACCAGAGGCGAAGGCGGCCUACUGGCUCGCACCUGACGCUGAGCCGCGAAAGCCAGGGGAGCGAAC
Molecule: ribosomal RNA, 250 nt
Filed under: uncultured bacterium
Lineage: Bacteria
Description: partial 16S ribosomal RNA
Rfam family: Bacterial small subunit ribosomal RNA
Source: RNAcentral